UAGGCGUUUCCUGUACUUACCCAUGACCGCUCCAUCCAGGUUUAUAUAGGUGCAAACACGUUUGUCAAUAGAGGACAUAUAACCCUAAAAACAAACACAGGCAUAUUACAGAACAUUAUUAGAACAGAGAGAGAUUU
Molecule: long non-coding RNA, 137 nt
Organism: Sebastes umbrosus (honeycomb rockfish)
Lineage: Eukaryota; Metazoa; Chordata; Actinopteri; Perciformes; Sebastidae
Exons: 3
Source: RefSeq, a predicted model, not a curated record